GUGCAGGAGUCAGGCCCAGUCAGGACACAGCAUGGACAUGAGGGUCCCCGCUCAGCUCCUGGGGCUCCUGCUGCUCUGGCUCCCAUGUGCCAGAUGCGACAUCCAGAUGACCCAGACUCCAUCCUCCCUGUCUGCAUCUGUAGGAGACAAAGUCACCAUCACUUGCCGGGCAAGUCAGGGUAUUAGCAGUUAUUUAGCCUGGUAUCAGCAGAAACCAGGGAAAGCCCCUAAGCUCCUGAUCUAUUAUGCAUCCAGUUUGCAAAGCGGGGUCCCAUCAAGGUUCAGUGGAAGUGGCUCUGGGACAGAUUUUACUCUCACCAUCAGCAGUCUGCAGCCUGAAGAUAUCGCAACAUAUUACUGUCAACAGUAUGAUAAGCUCCCUCCCACAGUGUUACAAGUCAUAACAUAAACCACCAAGGGAAACAGAAGUGUGAUGCUCGGCUG
Molecule: non-coding RNA, 444 nt
Organism: Cebus imitator (Panamanian white-faced capuchin)
Lineage: Eukaryota; Metazoa; Chordata; Mammalia; Primates; Cebidae
Source: the annotation of a RefSeq genome assembly